This 523-nucleotide long non-coding RNA is filed under the name Capsella rubella. Its description in RNAcentral is "long non-coding RNA (CRUB_LNC001035)". The record is from RNAcentral. Lineage: Eukaryota; Viridiplantae; Streptophyta; Magnoliopsida; Brassicales; Brassicaceae.
UUUUAUAUACAAAUAUAUAGAUAUACAUUUUCUUUUCUUCUCUAAGAGAUUUUAUAUUUUUUUUUAAAUGAUAGUAGGUCAAACGGGAAAUUGUGGAGAGUCAAGUCACGAAUGUAACGAUACGUUCCAAAAUGAUCAGUGUGAAAAAUAUUGUAAGCCUAAUUUCACACAUGGUACUUGCCUUCUGAGGUCUUUCGUAGGACCUAAUCCUCCUUCGUAUUAUUGUUGUUGUUAUUCAUAGAUUCAAUAUGUAAUUCUUACUACAAGAUAAUAAAGAGUUUAUUAAAUUCUAAUUAUUUAUUAUCAUUUGAUCGUACUGCACUGUCUGAUAUAAAAAUUACACUAAUUAGUUUUUUUUUUUUUUACUAAACAUGUUACAGAAAAGUUCAAAUACUAGUUUGUUGUCAAUAGAAAGCUCUUUUGUAAGAGACAGUAUAAUAAAAUUAAUUCAAUCUUGAUAAUUAAAAAUAUGGUUAUGUUGUUUAUGUGUCUAUUCAAUCCGUAGUGCUAUAUAUUAUCACUA